This 854-nucleotide ribosomal RNA is filed under the name uncultured Fibrobacter sp. RNAcentral describes it as "bacterial SSU rRNA". It matches the Rfam family "Bacterial small subunit ribosomal RNA", at positions 147 to 1007 of the family's 1533-position model. The record is from RNAcentral. Lineage: Bacteria; Pseudomonadati; Fibrobacterota; Fibrobacteria; Fibrobacterales; Fibrobacteraceae.
CCGGCCCAACGCGCGGCUAAUGCCGAAUAUCGUGGUCUGUAACAUUACAGACUAACGAAAGAUUUAUCGAUACGAGAUGAACUUGCGUCCGAUUAACUAGUAGGCGGGGUAGAAGCCCACCUCGACGAUCGGUAGCCGGCCUGAGAGGGUGAUCGGCCACAUUGGGACUGAGAUACGGCCCAGACUCCUACGGGAGGCAGCAGUAGGGAAUAUUACGCAAUGGGGGCAACCCUGACGCAGCAACGCCACGUGUGGGAAGAAGCAUUUCGGUGUGUAAACCACUGUCGGGAGGGAAUAAUAAUACGAUUCGUCGUAUAUGAAUGUACCUCCAAAGGAAGCACCGGCAAACUUCGUGCCAGCAGCCGCGGUAAUACGAGGGGUGCGAGCGUUGUUCGGAAUCACUGGGCGUAAAGGGAGCGUAGGCGGAGUUACAAGCAAUCUGUGCAAUCGUGGGGCCCAACCUCAUACCCGCAGAUUGGACUGUAAUUCUUGGAUAUUUCAGGGGCAAGCGGAAUUCCUGGUGUAGCGGUGGAAUGCGUAGAUAUCAGGAAGUACACCAAAAGCGAAGGCAGCUUGCUGGGGAAUAAUCGACGCUGAGGCUCGAAAGUGUGGGUAGCAAACAGGAUUAGAUACCCUGGUAGUCCACACAGUAAACGAUGCAUACUGGAUGUUCGAUUUUCGGAUCGAGUGUCGAAGCAAACGUGUUAAGUAUGCCGCCUGGGGGAGUACGUACGCAAGUAUGAAACUCAAAGGAAUUGACAGGGGCCCGCACAAGCGGUGGAGCAUGUGGUUUAAUUCGAAGCAACGCGAAGAACCUUACCAGGGUUUGACAUGAAAACACCGCAGCGAGAGAU